UACGUAGGGCGCAAGCGUUGUCCGGAAUUAUUGGGCGUAAAGAGCUCGUAGGCGGUCUGUCGCGUCGGAUGUGAAAGCCCGGGGCUUAACCCCGGGUCUGCAUUCGAUACGGGCAGACUAGAGUGUGGUAGGGGAGAUCGGAAUUCCUGGUGUAGCGGUGAAAUGCGUAGAUAUCGGGAGGAACACCAGUGGCGAAGGCGGCUACCUGGCACAUAACUGACGCUGAUACGCGAAAGCGUGGGGAGCGAACCGG
This 253-nucleotide ribosomal RNA is filed under the name uncultured bacterium. RNAcentral's name for it is "partial 16S ribosomal RNA". It matches the Rfam family "Bacterial small subunit ribosomal RNA", at positions 524 to 776 of the family's 1533-position model. The record is from RNAcentral.